RNAcentral lists this transfer RNA (77 nucleotides) under Desulfarculus sp. RNAcentral describes it as "tRNA-His". It matches the Rfam family "tRNA". From Rfam's summary of the family: Transfer RNA (tRNA) molecules are approximately 80 nucleotides in length. Their secondary structure includes four short double-helical elements and three loops (D, anti-codon, and T loops). Lineage: Bacteria; Pseudomonadati; Thermodesulfobacteriota; Desulfarculia; Desulfarculales; Desulfarculaceae. The record is from RNAcentral.
GUGGCUGUAGCUCAGUAGGUUAGAGCGCCAGGUUGUGGCCCUGGAGGCCGUGGGUUCGAGUCCCAUCAGCCACCCCA